GCAACACGAUGAACUAUCAUUAACUGAAUCCAUAGGUUAAUGAGGCGAACCGGGGGAACUGAAACAUCUAAGUACCCCGAGGAAAAGAAAUCAACCGAGAUUCCCCCAGUAGCGGCGAGCGAACGGGGAGGAGCCCAGAGCCUGAAUCAGCAUGUGUGUUAGUGGAAGCGUCUGGAAAGGCGCGCGAUACAGGGUGACAGCCCCGUACACAAAAGCGCAUGUGCUGUGA
Molecule: ribosomal RNA, 229 nt
Filed under: Salmonella enterica subsp. enterica serovar Infantis
Lineage: Bacteria; Pseudomonadati; Pseudomonadota; Gammaproteobacteria; Enterobacterales; Enterobacteriaceae
Description: partial 23S ribosomal RNA
Rfam family: Bacterial large subunit ribosomal RNA
Source: RNAcentral